Molecule: ribosomal RNA, 396 nt
Filed under: uncultured bacterium
Lineage: Bacteria
Description: partial 16S ribosomal RNA
Rfam family: Bacterial small subunit ribosomal RNA
Source: RNAcentral
AUACAGAGGGUGCAAGCGUUAAUCGGAUUUACUGGGCGUAAAGCGCGCGUAGGUGGCUAAUUAAGUCAAAUGUGAAAUCCCCGAGCUUAACUUGGGAAUUGCAUUCGAUACUGGUUAGCUAGAGUAUGGGAGAGGAUGGUAGAAUUCCAGGUGUAGCGGUGAAAUGCGUAGAGAUCUGGAGGAAUACCGAUGGCGAAGGCAGCCAUCUGGCCUAAUACUGACACUGAGGUGCGAAAGCAUGGGGAGCAAACAGGAUUAGAUACCCUGGUAGUCCAUGCCGUAAACGAUGUCUACUAGCCGUUGGGGCCCUUGAGGCUUUAGUGGCGCAGCUAACGCGAUAAGUAGACCGCCUGGGGAGUACGGUCGCAAGACUAAAACUUAAAGGAAUUGACGGGG